RNAcentral lists this long non-coding RNA (641 nucleotides) under Selaginella moellendorffii. RNAcentral describes it as "long non-coding RNA (SMOE_LNC000685)". The record is from RNAcentral. Lineage: Eukaryota; Viridiplantae; Streptophyta; Lycopodiopsida; Selaginellales; Selaginellaceae.
CCCCUGCCACGAAUAACACGAGGUGGCGGCUCGAUCCACCGUGGCUUGGAUCAACGGUAACCAUUCUCUUGUGCAUCAAAUUUUAGGAGGUAAAUAACGUUCAACAGUCGUAUCUCAAGUUCAUGUCCUUUGCCUACAGAUGAAUGCUUACUUGAACAAUGCCGAAGAAGUACGAUUGAAAACUGUCUUCUGGACGGAAAUGAACAAAGGAGACCUUCAGGUAGGCAGCUCACGUUUGUCCUGCCAGCACAUUUUAAAACUCACAGCAAAAGCUGCACAAGCUGCUGCUCUGUCUGCAAUUUCGUCUGGAACUGGAUCCGCCGCUGACAUCUCUGCUGCUGCUGCCGCUGCUGUUGCGAGCUCCAAAAGGAUUGUGCAUUUCCACGAAACAACUCUUGUUUGUUCCUCACGCCAUUGCACUAGGAAGUAUUGAAAUAAGGCUUGCAAUACAAAGCAAAUUCAAAACCAGAGCAAACAACACAGUCCGCAACUGCCAGAUACUCCUGCUAUCAUCGAGGAAUCGGCCAACCCCAUGCAUCCAAACAUGGCUCACUACAGCUACAUAAUCGAUCUCCUCAGCUGCACCGCACACCCUUGUGGCCAAGGAGCUCAAGAAGGGAAACAAUGCAAGCAAAUUGUUU